This 71-nucleotide transfer RNA is filed under the name Candidatus Doudnabacteria bacterium RIFCSPHIGHO2_01_FULL_50_11. Its description in RNAcentral is "tRNA-Gln". It matches the Rfam family "tRNA". From Rfam's summary of the family: Transfer RNA (tRNA) molecules are approximately 80 nucleotides in length. Their secondary structure includes four short double-helical elements and three loops (D, anti-codon, and T loops). RNAcentral also lists the same sequence under 2 other names. Lineage: Bacteria; Candidatus Doudnaibacteriota. The record is from RNAcentral.
UGGGGAGUAGCCAAGUGGUAAGGCAUCGCCCUCUGGAGGCGACACCGAAGGUCCGAAUCCUUCCUCCCCAG